This is a long non-coding RNA of Cimex lectularius (bed bug), 271 nucleotides long. RefSeq lists it as uncharacterized. NCBI's taxonomy places the organism in Eukaryota, Metazoa, Arthropoda, Insecta, Hemiptera, Cimicidae. The record is from RefSeq and is a predicted model, not a curated record. The transcript is spliced from 2 exons.
AGAUAAGUCAUAUCAACAACCUGGUAACUUUGAGUUGAUUCAUGUGUUGAAAAAUGUGCCUUGGUAGUUGCAGAUGCUACAUUAUUUGUGCUGUCGUAAUGGCCGCGAAUUUAGCCAUUUGUGGAUACUUUGUUUAUUCUAUUUUAAUAAACCAGAAGAGUGCAAACAAAACUGAACAUGGUUGACUUUCUAGUGACAUACAUCCAUCGAGGCCAAAAGAAAAUUGAUUUCGUGUUGUAAAUAUAAGAAGGCUGAAUAAACCAGGAAAAAU